AACGAACGCUGGCGGCAGGCCUAACACAUGCAAGUCGAACGCCCCGCAAGGGGAGUGGCAGACGGGUGAGUAACGCGUGGGAACGUACCCUUCGGUUCGGGAUAACUCAGGGAAACUUGAGCUAAUACCGGAUACGUCCGAGAGGAGAAAGAUUUAUCGCCGAGGGAUCGGCCCGCGUCUGAUUAGCUUGUUGGUGAGGUAACGGCUCACCAAGGCGACGAUCAGUAGCUGGUCUGAGAGGAUGAUCAGCCACAUUGGGACUGAGACACGGCCCAAACUCCUACGGGAGGCAGCAGUGGGGAAUAUUGGACAAUGGGCGCAAGCCUGAUCCAGCCAUGCCGCGUGAGUGAUGAAGGCCCUAGGGUUGUAAAGCUCUUUCAGCAAGGGACGAAGACGAAAGUGACGGUACCUGCAGAAGAAGCACCGGCCAACUACGUGCCAG
RNAcentral lists this ribosomal RNA (442 nucleotides) under uncultured bacterium. RNAcentral's name for it is "bacterial SSU rRNA". It matches the Rfam family "Bacterial small subunit ribosomal RNA", at positions 29 to 511 of the family's 1533-position model. The record is from RNAcentral.